This 1410-nucleotide ribosomal RNA is filed under the name Klebsiella pneumoniae. Its description in RNAcentral is "bacterial SSU rRNA". It matches the Rfam family "Bacterial small subunit ribosomal RNA". Lineage: Bacteria; Pseudomonadati; Pseudomonadota; Gammaproteobacteria; Enterobacterales; Enterobacteriaceae. The record is from RNAcentral.
ACCGUAGUCGAGCGGUAGCACAGAGAGCUUGCUCUCGGGUGACGAGCGGCGGACGGGUGAGUAAUGUCUGGGAAACUGCCUGAUGGAGGGGGAUAACUACUGGAAACGGUAGCUAAUACCGCAUAACGUCGCAAGACCAAAGUGGGGGACCUUCGGGCCUCAUGCCAUCAGAUGUGCCCAGAUGGGAUUAGCUAGUAGGUGGGGUAACGGCUCACCUAGGCGACGAUCCCUAGCUGGUCUGAGAGGAUGACCAGCCACACUGGAACUGAGACACGGUCCAGAUCCUACGGGAGGCAGCAGUGGGGAAUAUUGCACAAUGGGCGCAAGCCUGAUGCAGCCAUGCCGCGUGUGUGAAGAAGGCCUUCGGGUUGUAAAGCACUUUCAGCGGGGAGGAAGGCGAUAAGGUUAAUAACCUUGGCGAUUGACGUUACCCGCAGAAGAAGCACCGGCUAACUCCGUGCCAGCAGCCGCGGUAAUACGGAGGGUGCAAGCGUUAAUCGGAAUUACUGGGCGUAAAGCGCACGCAGGCGGUCUGUCAAGUCGGAUGUGAAAUCCCCGGGCUCAACCUGGGAACUGCAUUCGAAACUGGCAGGCUAGAGUCUUGUAGAGGGGGGUAGAAUUCCAGGUGUAGCGGUGAAAUGCGUAGAGAUCUGGAGGAAUACCGGUGGCGAAGGCGGCCCCCUGGACAAAGACUGACGCUCAGGUGCGAAAGCGUGGGGAGCAAACAGGAUUAGAUACCCUGGUAGUCCACGCCGUAAACGAUGUCGAUUUGGAGGUUGUGCCCUUGAGGCGUGGCUUCCGGAGCUAACGCGUUAAAUCGACCGCCUGGGGAGUACGGCCGCAAGGUUAAAACUCAAAUGAAUUGACGGGGGCCCGCACAAGCGGUGGAGCAUGUGGUUUAAUUCGAUGCAACGCGAAGAACCUUACCUGGUCUGACAUCCACAGAACUUUCCAGAGAUGGAUUGGUGCCUUCGGGAACUGUGAGACAGGUGCUGCAUGGCUGUCGUCAGCUCGUGUUGUGAAAUGUUGGGUUAAGUCCCGCAACGAGCGCAACCCUUAUCCUUUGUUGCCAGCGGUUCGGCCGGGAACUCAAAGGAGACUGCCAGUGAUAAACUGGAGGAAGGUGGGGAUGACGUCAAGUCAUCAUGGCCCUUACGACCAGGGCUACACACGUGCUACAAUGGCAUAUACAAAGAGAAGCGACCUCGCGAGAGCAAGCGGACCUCAUAAAGUAUGUCGUAGUCCGGAUUGGAGUCUGCAACUCGACUCCAUGAAGUCGGAAUCGCUAGUAAUCGUAGAUCAGAAUGCUACGGUGAAUACGUUCCCGGGCCUUGUACACACCGCCCGUCACACCAUGGGAGUGGGUUGCAAAAGAAGUAGGUAGCUUAACCUUCGGGAGGGGCAUUCACG